AACGAACGCUGGCGGCAGGCCUAACACAUGCAAGUCGAGCGGACCUUUCGGGGUCAGCGGCGGACGGGUGAGUAACGCGUGGGAAUAUGCCCUUCUCUACGGAAUAGUCCUGGGAAACUGGGGGUAAUACCGUAUACGCCCUUUGGGGGAAAGAUUUAUCGGGGAAGGAUUAGCCCGCGUUGGAUUAGGUAGUUGGUGGGGUAAUGGCCUACCAAGCCGACGAUCCAUAGCUGGUUUGAGAGGAAGAUCAGCCACACUGGGACGGAGACACGGCCGAGACUCCUACGGGAGGCAGCAGUGGGGAAUCUUAGACAAUGGGGGCAACGCUGAUGUAGCCAUGCUGCGUGAGUGAUGAAGGCAUUAGGGUUGUAAAGCGCUAUCAGCUGUGAAGAUAAUGACGGUACCAGCAGAAGAAGCCCCGGCUAACUCCGUG
This 433-nucleotide ribosomal RNA is filed under the name uncultured bacterium. RNAcentral describes it as "partial 16S ribosomal RNA". It matches the Rfam family "Bacterial small subunit ribosomal RNA", at positions 29 to 507 of the family's 1533-position model. The record is from RNAcentral.